CCCAGAAUGCAUGUGUGAUCCACUACCCCAUCUCGGACCAUGAGGCCGCCCUGAGGUGCUGGGUCCCGGGCUUCUACCAUGUGGAAAUCACAGUGACCCAACUGUGGGAUGGGGAGGACCAAAUUUAGGACGCAGAGCUUGUGGGGACCAGACCUGCAGGGUAUAGAACCUUCCAGAAGUGGGCAGCUGUGGUGCUGUCUUCUAGAGACAAGUAGAGAUCCACAUGCCAUGUGCAGCAGGAGGCACUGCCAGAGCCCCUCACACUGAGAUGGGGCCAUCUUCCCAGCCCACAUUCCUCAUCAUGGGCAUCGUUACCGUCCUGGUUGUUCUAGGUGCUGUGGUCACUGCUGUGAUGUGGAAGAAUAAGACCCCAGGUAGGAUGGAAAAGGAGUCAGCUAUGCUCAGGCUUCAAGUAAGAACAGUACCCAGGGCUCUGAUGUGUCUCUCAAGUCUUG
This 455-nucleotide long non-coding RNA is filed under the name Homo sapiens (human). RNAcentral's name for it is "long non-coding RNA NONHSAT118263.2". Lineage: Eukaryota; Metazoa; Chordata; Mammalia; Primates; Hominidae. The record is from RNAcentral.